UACAGAGGUCUCGAGCGUUGUUCGGAUUCAUUGGGCGUAAAGGGUGCGUAGGUGGCUAGGUAAGUCGGAUGUGAAAUCCCGGGGCUCAACCCCGGAACUGCAUUCGAUACUGCCUGGCUGGAGUACUGGAGAGGAGAUUGGAAUUUACGGUGUAGCAGUGAAAUGCGUAGAUAUCGUAAGGAAGACCAGUGGCGAAGGCGGAUCUCUGGACAGUUACUGACACUGAGGCACGAAGGCCAGGGGAGCAAACGGG
This 253-nucleotide ribosomal RNA is filed under the name uncultured bacterium. RNAcentral describes it as "partial 16S ribosomal RNA". It matches the Rfam family "Bacterial small subunit ribosomal RNA", at positions 524 to 776 of the family's 1533-position model. The record is from RNAcentral.